This is a non-coding RNA of Schistocephalus solidus, 83 nucleotides long. The record is from Rfam. Lineage: Eukaryota; Metazoa; Platyhelminthes; Cestoda; Diphyllobothriidea; Diphyllobothriidae.
GACCUCGUAGCUCAGUUGGCUAGAGCGUCGGCUGUACGAAAGCCUUUCCCUUGCUGGCGUGGGUUCGAAUCCCACCGAGGCCG